AGCAGGGUAGAGCAGUGGCUGUGCUCGUCGGUCUCAUAAGCCGAAGAUCAUGGGUUCGAAUCCCAUCCUUGCGACCA
Molecule: transfer RNA, 77 nt
Filed under: Cyanobacteria bacterium SZAS-4
Lineage: Bacteria; Bacillati; Cyanobacteriota
Also listed under: 1 other name
Description: tRNA-Met
Rfam family: tRNA
About the family: Transfer RNA (tRNA) molecules are approximately 80 nucleotides in length.
Source: RNAcentral